UACAGUCUUCGGAUGCAGGAGGGAUCUGAUGUGAUUGGCCACAUUCAGAGGUUCAACCAGUUAUGCAUGGAGUUGAUGAAUAUCAGGGUGAAGCUGGAUGAGGAGGACAAGUCCCUGUUGCUUUUGUAUUCGCUGCCAGGAUCAUAUGACUCUUUGGUGACUACACUGCUCUAUGGUAAGGAGACUCUGGAAUAUGAGGA
Molecule: long non-coding RNA, 200 nt
Filed under: Elaeis guineensis (African oil palm)
Lineage: Eukaryota; Viridiplantae; Streptophyta; Magnoliopsida; Arecales; Arecaceae
Description: long non-coding RNA (EGUI_LNC021477)
Source: RNAcentral